RNAcentral lists this transfer RNA (77 nucleotides) under Mycoplasma haemofelis Ohio2. RNAcentral describes it as "tRNA-Pro (TGG) (tRNA-Pro-TGG-1-1)". It matches the Rfam family "tRNA". From Rfam's summary of the family: Transfer RNA (tRNA) molecules are approximately 80 nucleotides in length. The record is from RNAcentral. Lineage: Bacteria; Bacillati; Mycoplasmatota; Mollicutes; Mycoplasmatales; Mycoplasmataceae. RNAcentral also lists the same sequence under 2 other names.
CGGGAUAUAGCUUAGCUUGGUAGAGCGCUUGCUUUGGGAGCAAGAGGUCACAGGUUCGAAUCCUGUUAUCCCGACCA